RNAcentral lists this ribosomal RNA (425 nucleotides) under uncultured bacterium. RNAcentral describes it as "bacterial SSU rRNA". It matches the Rfam family "Bacterial small subunit ribosomal RNA", at positions 354 to 796 of the family's 1533-position model. The record is from RNAcentral.
GUGGGGAAUCUUGGACAAUGGGCGCAAGCCUGAUCCAGCCAUGCCGCGUGAGUGAAGAAGGUCUUCGGAUUGUAAAGCUCUUUUGCCAGGGACGAUAAUGACGGUACCUGGAGAAUAAGCCCCGGCAAACUUCGUGCCAGCAGCCGCGGUAAUACGAAGGGGGCUAGCGUUGUUCGGAAUUACUGGGCGUAAAGCGCACGUAGGCGGGUCGUUAAGUCAGGGGUGAAAUCCCGGAGCUCAACCCCGGAACUGCCUUUGAUACUGGCGAUCUAGAGAUCGGAAGAGGUGAGUGGAAUUCCCAGUGUAGAGGUGAAAUUCGUAGAUAUUGGGAAGAACACCAGUGGCGAAGGCGGCUCACUGGUCCAAUACUGACGCUGAGGUGCGAAAGCGUGGGGAGCAAACAGGAUUAGAUACCCCGGUAGUCC